RNAcentral lists this long non-coding RNA (209 nucleotides) under Elaeis guineensis (African oil palm). Its description in RNAcentral is "long non-coding RNA (EGUI_LNC055070)". Lineage: Eukaryota; Viridiplantae; Streptophyta; Magnoliopsida; Arecales; Arecaceae. The record is from RNAcentral.
GAGGUUCCUAUCUGAUCUGAUGGCUGAUGUAGAAUCCUACAUGUUUGGGACUCAGUGAUCGAGAAUUAGGAUUCUCUGAUCACGAGUUCCACACAUUAUGGGUACCGGGGUCAAGAGUCCCACUGGUUGGGACUUUUCGAUCAGGGUUACAUAUCGAUGAAUUCUGAUGCUCGAUUGCCCAUCUGAUUUGGAUUAAGUAUUUAUGAGAG